RNAcentral lists this ribosomal RNA (2208 nucleotides) under Triticum aestivum (bread wheat). RNAcentral describes it as "partial small subunit ribosomal RNA". The record is from RNAcentral. Lineage: Eukaryota; Viridiplantae; Streptophyta; Magnoliopsida; Poales; Poaceae.
AUGGAGGUGGUGGCGCUGGUGAGCGGCGGCAAGGACAGCUGCUUCUCCAUGAUGCGCUGCCUCGACUACGGCCACAAGGUCGUCGCCCUGGCCAACCUCAUCCCGCUCGACGACGCCGUCGACGAGCUCGACAGCUACAUGUACCAGACCGUCGGGCACCAGAUCGUGGUUUGCUACGCCAAAUGCAUGGGGCUGCCCCUGUUCCGUCGCCGCAUCAGCGGAUCCACAAGGGAUCAUGCUCUCAAAUACAGUGUUACUGCUGGCGAUGAGGUGGAGGACAUGUUUGCCCUGCUGAGCGAGGUGAAGCGGCGAAUCCCGUCCAUUGGCGCCGUGUCUUCGGGCGCCAUCGCCUCCGAUUACCAGAGGCUCCGGGUCGAGAGCGUCUGCUCGAGGCUGGGCCUGGUCUCGCUCGCCUACAUGUGGAGGCAGGACCAGACUCUGCUUCUCGAAGAAAUGAUAAGAAGGGGCAUCGUGGCUAUAACAGUCAAGGUGGCUGCAAUGGGGUUGAAACCUUCUGUCCACUUGGGGAAAGAACUGGCUGAACUAAAGAGCCAUCUGCUCCAGAUGAAUGAGAGUUUUGGAAUCAAUGUCUGUGGUGAAGGUGGAGAGUACGAAACACUAACUCUUGACUGCCCUCUAUUUCGUAAUGCAAGGAUUGUCCUUGAUGAUUUUGAAGUGAUACUCCACUCUGCUGAUUCCAUUGCUUCAGUCGGAAUUCUUCAUCCGCUGGCAUUUCAUGUUGAGCCCAAGCCAGGUUCAUCUAGCAGCAUUGGGGAUGGUGCCAUUGCUGAAGAGAAUUCUAGUUGCCUGUACGAAGUAAAUGGAGCUAUUGCACACACGGAUGGGGAAACCAAACAGACCUUGAAUCCAACACCAACCUCUGAUGCUUACCCAGAUACAAAUGUAUGCAUUUCAAAGACAGGGAAGACUUUGUUUUCCAUUGGUUGUUGGAUAGAAGAACCCUCUAGUGCUUCGCAAGGCAUGAAGGCAGAUCUAGUCAAAGUUUUGAGCAGAAUUGAGAAUCAGCUCAAGGACGGAGGGUUAAGUUGGGCAAAUGUUCUAUAUGUUCACCUCUACAUUUCAAGCAUGAAGGAAUUUGGAUUAGCCAAUGAAGUUUAUGUCAGCUUCAUCACAGAAAAGAAAUGUCACCUUGGUGUUCCCUCGCGCAGUACAAUUGAAUUACCACUUGUUCAGGCUGGUUUAGGCAAUGCAUAUGUGGAGGUUCUAGUGUCAAAUGAUCUGGUCAAAAGAGUUCUGCAUGUACAAAGCAUCUCAUGCUGGGCUCCUAGUUGCAUCGGACCUUAUAGCCAGGCAACACUCUAUGGAGAGAUUCUCUAUAUGGCCGGUCAGCUCGGGCUUGACCCCCCUACGAUGAAGCUCUGUCCUGGAGGUGCAACAGCUCAACUGGAUCUAGCACUGCGAAAUAGUGAAGCUGUGGCUAAUGCCUUCAAGAGCUCUAUCUUCUCUUCAGCAAUACACUUUCUGGUGUACUGCUCUGCCCACCUGACAUCCACUGAGAAGGAAGCAGUUGAACAAAAGCUGCAGAAUUCAUAUAUUGCUCAUUUGGAUUCCGCAAGAAGUGGAUCGUAUCCUACUAUUCUAUAUGUACUAGCACCGGAUCUUCCGAAAGGAGCAUGUGUGGAGAUAAAACCAACAUUGUAUGUCCCCACUGAUGACUACAACGACAAUGACGAUGAUGGAGAUAUUACCAGAGAGCCGGAGGCCGGAGGGUCAAAGCCAUCAUCGAGCAAAGUCCCAAGUGAGUGGAGCGCGCAAUACUCUGGCUUGCACGACUCAUGCUGCCUGGCCAACACGGUUGCUGGGAAGAUUUGCUCUGCUGUGGUUUCAGUCACGAAUGAUAUCGCGUCAAAGAUCUGUCCCAGCACCGAACAUCUACACCCCUCAAAGGAGCAUUUGAAAGCCAUAACCAGGUUUUGUGCUUUCCAGCUCGCAAAGACCCUGACAGACAACAGCUUCACCUGGGACGACGUGACGAUGCUGAGGUUCUACUACUCGGUAGAGCGCGCAGUGGCAGCGGAUGUGGUGUCCCGUGCGUUCUCCGAGGCCUUCGCCGAGCUCGGAGCCGCCGAUGGUUCCUUGAGAAUCGACGGGGCGCCUGUGUUCAACCUCAUCCCGGUCUCCGGAUCCGGUCGCUCCGCUUCCAUGGAUGAUGUCGUGACGUGCGAGCUGCUAGCUUCCAAGGCUUAA